GACGAACGCUGGCGGCGUGCCUAAUACAUGCAAGUUGAGCGCUGAAGGUUGGUACUUGUACCGACUGGAUGAGCAGCGAACGGGUGAGUAACGCGUGGGGAAUCUGCCUUUGAGCGGGGGACAACAUUUGGAAACGAAUGCUAAUACCGCAUAAAAACUUUAAACACAAGUUUUAAGUUUGAAAGAUGCAAUUGCAUCACUCAAAGAUGAUCCCGCGUUGUAUUAGCUAGUUGGUGAGGUAAAGGCUCACCAAGGCGAUGAUACAUAGCCGACCUGAGAGGGUGAUCGGCCACAUUGGGACUGAGACACGGCCCAAACUCCUACGGGAGGCAGCAGUAGGGAAUCUUCGGCAAUGGACGAAAGCCUGACCGAGCAACGCCGCGUGAGUGAAGAAGGUUUUCGGAUCGUAAAACUCUGUUGGUAGAGAAGAACGUUGGUGAGAGUGGAAAGCUCAUCAAGUGACGGUAACUACCCAGAAAGGGACGGCUAACUACGUG
This 497-nucleotide ribosomal RNA is filed under the name uncultured bacterium. RNAcentral describes it as "partial 16S ribosomal RNA". It matches the Rfam family "Bacterial small subunit ribosomal RNA", at positions 28 to 507 of the family's 1533-position model. The record is from RNAcentral.